This is an RNA transcript of Myxocyprinus asiaticus (Chinese sucker), 2557 nucleotides long. It is a transcript of the gene named serine/threonine-protein phosphatase 2A activator-like, with no coding region annotated. The record is from RefSeq and is a predicted model, not a curated record. Lineage: Eukaryota; Metazoa; Chordata; Actinopteri; Cypriniformes; Catostomidae. The transcript has 10 exons.
GCCGGUGAGAGUUGAAGGCUUGUGUUUUCAUGUAUUUCAAAAUAAACAUGGCGGAGAAAGAGAAUGAGCAAACGUCAGGAUCCCAUCAGGAUGACCAGCCUCCCAGUCCUGUCAGCUUCAAUUUCAUGGUGCCAAAGAAGGAGAUCAGCAUGGUGUCUGAUAUGGGCAAAUGGAAAAAAUCACAGGCAUAUGCAGACUACGUCGGAUUCAUUCUGACCCUCAAUGAAGCUGUGAAGGGAAAGAAACUUACAUGUGAUUACCAGGUGUCUGAGACAGUGGAGAGGUUGCUUGCUUUGUUGGACACAUUAGAUUGCUGGAUUGAUGAGAUGCCACCAGUAGACCAGCCUUCUCGCUUUGGCAAUAAAGCCUUCCGUAACUGGUAUUCCAUGCUAGAACAGAGGGCUGAGAAUCUGGUCACUAUUGUUCUCCCAGAAGACCGUCAUGAUGCUGCUCCAGAGAUAGCCGAGUACCUGUUAGAGUCUGUGGGCAAUUCCACCAGAAUUGACUACGGUACAGGUCAUGAGGCUGCGUUUGCUGCAUUCCUCUGUUGUCUUUGUAAGGUGGGAGCUCUACGCAUGGAGGACCAGCUGGCCAUCGUAUUUAAAGUGUUUGACAAGUAUCUGCGAUUGACGCGCAGACUGCAGAAAACAUACAGGAUGGAGCCAGCGGGAAGCCAGGGGGUGUGGGGUCUCGAUGACUUUCAGUUUCUUCCCUUCAUAUGGGGCAGUUCACAGCUUAUAGGACACCCAACCCUGGAGCCCAGGCACUUCUUGGAGGAGAAGGUUGUGAACGAGCAUCAUCAAGACUACAUAUUUCUGGAGUGCAUUAAAUUCAUCAAUGAGGGAGGUUGUGUUUGGACUCCACUCACACGAGUCAUUUCCUUCCUUCCCUGCACGUUGUUGUGAAUCACUCCUAGGGCCCACCCCUCCUUUCUUUUUCACUUACCCCUCGCUCUCUUUUUCCUUCUCUUCAUUCCUCUAAGUGGGGCUAGUGGGUCUUGGGAAAGUCAGACUUGAUGAGGGCAGUGUGUGUGUGUGUGUAUGUGUGUAAAGCUACACAGCACUACCAUUCAUAAACUACCCUUUCCCAAGGGCAGCCCCUCUUUCUCAUAAACUCAUGAAAAGGCCUGAUAGUACAUUAACUUUAUUGAUAAUUACAUUGCUAAAACAUUACUUAUAGUAAUUAUAUUAUUAGAUUUGUAUACUCUGUGUACAUAUGCUGUUAAUUUACUUACUGUUAAAUAAUCUAACAACUCCACUUAUUUUUUAUGAACGUUCUCUUUAAAGAAAUAUUCCGGGUUCAGUACAAGUUAAGCUCAGUCGACAGAAUUUGUGGCAUAAUGUUGAUUACAACAAAAGAUUAUUUUGACCCGUUUCGCCUUUAAAAAAAAAAGUACAAAUCGAGGUUACAGUGAGGCACCUACAGUGGAAUUACAACUGAUUAUUGUGGCCAGUUUUUGGAGUUUAGAAACUUGUUUUAUAAAAGCACUUACAUUAAUUCUUCUGUUACAACUCAUGAAUUAUUUGAGCUUUAAAGUUGUUUAAAUUGUCAUUUAAACUGACGUUUUAGGGUUUUAGUGUUUACGCCGUGACAUCGUCAUGACAACAAAGAUAUUACAUUUGAUUUUACUUUACGCAGUAAAAGUUAGCAAGUGAUUUUAUCACACUAAAGCCAGUUUAACAAAAAUAUUGUUUACGUCAUGUGGCUAUACUUUUGAAAUAGUGAGUAUUUUAAUGUUUACGAACUGGCGCUAUUCACUUCCAUUGGAAGUGCCUCACUAUACUUAAAUUUUUGCUUUUUAAAGAAAAUGAGGGACGAGACUAAAUUAAUUUUGUGAUAAUCAACAUUGUGCCACAAAUGCUGUUGAUUGAGUUUAACUUGUAUUGAACCCGGAAUAUUCCUUAAGUAGUUUUGCCAUUAAUCUGCUAGUAUCAGUGCUUUUUAGACCAGUCAUUUCUACAACUACCACUUUUUUUUUUUUUUUUUUGCAGUUGUUUUGCAUACAAUCAUAUAACUUCCACAACAAUAAACAGAUAAUUACUAAAUAUCUCUUAUUGAGGGGUAAUCAUUAUCAUUUCUAUUAUCAUUAUCAUGUCUUUGCCCCCUCUUCUGGUCUGUGAUUAAAUUAGAAACAAGAAUGUUCCGUUCGCUCUUUAGAGUAAAUUAUAUUUUUAUCUUCGUAACAUACCACAAAAAUUUAUUUUUCUCAUUCCAUUUUUUUUUAUUUUUUUAUUAUUUGGUUUCCAUUCACCUUAUAUAAAUCAGGAAAGCAAGUCAUUGUGGAUUUCAAGUUGCCCCUGUCAAAUCCACCUUUAAUGUUGCUGAUUACACAGUAUGUUCAAAAUGUUGUAUCUUUUUAAUCACUACAUUCUUGUUUUUUUUUUGUUUUUGUUUUUUUCUUCCAUUAGAUGAAAACAGGCCCCUUUGCUGAACACUCUAACCAGCUUUGGAACAUCAGUGCUGUUCCUUCCUGGUCCAAAGUCAAUCAAGGUCUCAUACGAAUGUACAAAGCGGAAUGUCUAGAAAAAUUCCCAGUCAUCCAGCAUUUCAAGUUUGG